Mustela erminea (ermine) is the source of this 741-nucleotide long non-coding RNA. RefSeq lists it as uncharacterized. NCBI's taxonomy places the organism in Eukaryota, Metazoa, Chordata, Mammalia, Carnivora, Mustelidae. The transcript has 2 exons. The record is from RefSeq and is a predicted model, not a curated record.
UUCUCUGACAAAUAAAUAAAUAAAUAAAUUUUUAAAAAUUUAUUCACCAACAUUUUAUGUCAUGUAAAUUUUGUGUUGUUAUGAAUUCACACUUGUUUAAAAAUUACAGGCAAGUCCAGGAAAACAACAGGGUAAACUUGUCAGUGUUCAGGUAGUUCUUUGGAGGUCUUUUGUAGACAGGCACAAUUAGGCAGCCAGAUCUAACUUUCAAAUGGGCUCUUUCUCAUUUCAUGUGGGUUAUGCUGGGAAACCCAGUCUCUUGUUCUGAUUCAUUCUGCACUCUGUUAUAGACUAGUUGUGUGAUUCUGGCCAUGGCCCUUCUAGAUUUCAGCAUCCUUUGGUAAAUGUGCAGAUAGUGGCUUACGUGAGCUCUAAAAUGUUUGUGAUCUAUAUUACAUAUUGAAUUUUCCUGCAAUCAAGAAUUUCAUAGUUAAACCAUUGAGAACCUAGAGAAAUUUAGGGAAAGAAUAUAGAUGUUACAAACUGACACUGCAUUGAACCAUAGAUGAUAGGGGACCAUUCUGGUUAUAUCUACAGUCCUUCAGUAGGCAAAAAAAAAAAAAAAAAAAAAAAAGAUAGAAACAAAUUUCAGUAAUUGUAGACUCCUGCCUGACUUUGAAGAACCUACAAGGUAGAACACUAACAAGGACCUUGGUAGACCGCUAAUUAUGCCCUGUAGGUGAGAUUUUAUGGAGCUUUCUCAACCAGCAAAUCUCUGAGAAGGAUAUUUUAAGCCAGAGG